This 492-nucleotide ribosomal RNA is filed under the name uncultured bacterium. Its description in RNAcentral is "partial 16S ribosomal RNA". It matches the Rfam family "Bacterial small subunit ribosomal RNA", at positions 28 to 507 of the family's 1533-position model. The record is from RNAcentral.
GAUGAACGCUGGCGGCGUGCCUAAUACAUGCAAGUUGAGCGACAGAACAGGGAGCUUGUGCCCUUACGGUUAGCGGCGGACGGGUGAGUAAGGCGUGGAUAAGCUUCCUCUUAGCCGUGGAGAACAUCGGGGAACAACUGCUAAUAACACAUAAUAAGUUUAACGGCAGGUUUCAAGAGUUAAAGGGGCAUUUGCCGACUGUAUGAGAGGAGUCCGGGUUGCCUAGUUGGCUGGGUAAGGUCACGCCUAGCCAACGCUCCGUAGCUGGUCUGAGAGGAUGAUCAGCCACACUGGAACUGAGACACGGUCCAGACUCCUACGGGAGGCAGCAGUGGGGAAUAUUGGACAUGGGGCGCAGUCCUAAUCCAGCCAUACCGCGUGGGUGAAGAAGGCCUUCGAGUUGUAAAGCCCUUUUGUAGGGAAAGAAAAUCAGCAGGUUAAUACCCCGCUGUUCUGACGGUACCCAAAGAAUAAGCACCGGCUAACUUCGUG